Brachypodium distachyon (stiff brome) is the source of this 1008-nucleotide long non-coding RNA. RefSeq lists it as uncharacterized. Lineage: Eukaryota; Viridiplantae; Streptophyta; Magnoliopsida; Poales; Poaceae. The transcript has 3 exons. The record is from RefSeq and is a predicted model, not a curated record.
GAUACAUUGGACAUACUUCGCCUUCACUCUUUCGCCAUUUCUGCAGCUAACUUGUGGACUGAUCAUGCUAUCAACCGCAAAGCUAAAUCCAUCGAAUACAAAUUGUGGGAACCUUUCUACUUAAACCCAGGCAUUAUCCAGUUUCAGUCUUAAUAUCUGCGAAGUUUAAAGCUCACUAAUGUUAUCCUAGUCACAUGUAUCUUUCACCGGCUCAACCAUGCAUGCCCAUCAUUAGAAAAUCUGCAGUUUGGAGAUAGCACUCUUGAAUUACCUGAGAUUUCAUCAAGGUCAUUGAAGACUCUGGAAAUAAUAGACUGCUCAGUUUCAAAGCAUCUUCUGAUUCGUACGCACAAACUGGUGUCGCUACGCUUUGACGGCUCUCGAUGCAAAUGCACUUCCAAGUCCAUAUUGCUAACGCCAUCAGCAGUAACUCUAUGUGAUCUUUCAAAUGUCGAGAGCAUAGAAUUAUCAGCUUCAGUGAGACAGGUUGCAUUUGAUGGAGUAUCUACAGGGCGCUCAAUGUUCAUCAAUCUAAGAAGUCUCUCUCUUGGAGAAUGGUGUCUUUCUAACAACUUAUCUCCCUUAGUUUCUUUCUCCGGCACUCUCCUUUGCUUGAGAAGCUUAACCUGAAGCUUAAGUUAGAUUGUGAGAAGGACGAACAAACGAUUCAAACAGCCAAGGGAAUAUCAUUUGCUGCUGAGCACCUUGAGAAGGUAACAAUCUACUGCACCGAAGGGGAUGCAAGGGUUCCCGUGCUGGUGAAUAUCUUGAGCAGUAACGCAAGAUCUCUCGACCGAAUCGAUGUCAAGACAUACUAAAUGUGUGUGUGUUCUGUUGCUGUAUGGAAACUCAUUUGAAUGUUUGUCCAAUUGGUGAUCCACUGGACUAAGAAUAGUGGACCAAGUACGGAAAACAGUGAAUGCCUAAACAUAAGACCUGCAUCAGAGAAGUUGAGUUCUUUCUAUGAAAAAUAAUAUUAUUCAUGCAUGCUAAAUUGCCCAAUAGAAA